GCUGUGUGCUUUGUUGUGCGCUGUGUUCUACGUGCUCUGUGCUGUGCGCUGUGCUGUGUGCUGAGCUGUGCUGGCAUCGUUCUCACUCCUCCUGGUGGCUGUGGGAGGAUGGACUGUUUAAGAAGAGAUGUGUACCAUUGGCAGUGAGCUGAGAUUGUGCCAUUGCACUCCAGCCUGGACAACAAGAGUGAAACUCCAUCUCAAAACAAAACAAAAAAGAAAUGAAGAUGAAAAAAAUCAAGGCCCAUGGCCCAGUUGAAACUCUUUUGAAUGAAGUGGAGGAGGCAGGAUCUGUGUGAUUUGAGAGUCCAGGCUCUGAGUCAGGACUGCCUCCCGGCAACACACAACAGCAACAAACACAGAGUGCAAUCUUAGGGAAAUGCCAAGACCUUCACCUUGAGCGUGUGCAUGCGCUGCUCUACAGAACCCAGGAGGCGCCUUCCGCCCACCCACAGCAUCACUUCACUGAACAUGGAGUUGGGAAGAGACCUGCGCAAUCGGUUCUUUCUGUUGGCAGGCGCCUCCCCCAGCACACCUCUGGAUAGUUCCCCGUCUUCAGAGAAGAGCUUCCUGCAAUUAUACCGUAGUAUCUGCAGCAGCAUCACCAAAAUGUGGCCAUACUGGAAUCCCUGAGGCGGAGCAGCUGGACCCGAGGGCUCACUGAUUGUGCGGUUGGGAGCGGGCGUCUCGCAGGCUUGCAGAGAUCAGCUUUUGUUGCGCCAGGAGCUGAUGCUUAAUGG
Homo sapiens (human) is the source of this 740-nucleotide long non-coding RNA. Ensembl annotates it as long intergenic non-protein coding RNA 3047. NCBI's taxonomy places the organism in Eukaryota, Metazoa, Chordata, Mammalia, Primates, Hominidae. The record is from Ensembl.